AACAAGGUCUCCGUUGGUGAACCAGCGGAGGGAUCAUUACUGAGUUAUCUAAACUCCCAACCCUUUGUGAACCUUACCGUCGUUGCCUCGGCGGGCUGUGCCUACCCUGUAGCUACCCUGUAGCUACCCGGUAGGUACGCUGCAAGCCCGCCGGUGGACCACCAAACUCUGUUUUAAUACUGAAUCUCUGAAUGCUUCAACUUAAUAAGUUAAAACUUUCAACAACGGAUCUCUUGGUUCUGGCAUCGAUGAAGAACGCAGCGAAAUGCGAUAAGUAAUGUGAAUUGCAGAAUUCAGUGAAUCAUCGAAUCUUUGAACGCACAUUGCGCCCAUUAGUAUUCUAGUGGGCAUGCCUAUUCGAGCGUCAUUUCAACCCUUAAGCCUAGCUGCUUAGUGUUGGGAAUCUGCCCUGCUCCUGCAGCGCAGUUCCCCAAAGUGAUCGGCGGAGUUAGGGCAUACUCUAAGCGUAGUAAUAUCUCUUCUCGCUUCUGUAGUUGUCCUGGCGGCUUGCCGUUAAACCCCUAUAUUUCUAGUGGUUGACCUCGGAUUAGGUAGGAAUACCCGCUGAACUUAAGCAUAUCUCAUUUCUACAAUAAGGAGCAAAAGAAACCAACAGGGAUUGCCCUAGUAACGGCGAGUGAAGCGGCAACAGCUCAAAUUUGAAAUCUGGCCCUAGCGGUCCGAGUUGUAAUUUGUAGAGGAUGCUUUUGGUUAGGUGCCUUCCGAGUUCCCUGGAACGGGACGCCGGAGAGGGUGAGAGCCCCGUACGGUUGGACACCGAGCCUCUAUAUAGCUCCUUCGACGAGUCGAGUAGUUUGGGAAUGCUGCUCUAAAUGGGAGGUAAAUUUCUUCUAAAGCUAAAUACCGGCCAGAGACCGAUAGCGCACAAGUAGAGUGAUCGAAAGAUGAAAAGUACUUUGAAAAGAGGGUUAAAUAGCACGUGAAAUUGUUGAAAGGGAAGCGUUUGCGACCAGACUUUUUCCAGGCGGAUCAUCCGGUGUUCUCACCGGUGCACUUCGCCUGGUUUAGGCCAGCAUCGGUUCUCUUAGGGGGAUAAAGGCCUGGGGAACGUAGCUCCCUCGGGAGUGUUAUAGCCCCUCGCGUAAUACCCUUCGGGGGACCGAGGAACGCGCAUCUGCAAGGAUGCUGGCGUAAUGGUCGUCAACGACCCGUCUUGAAC
Molecule: ribosomal RNA, 1180 nt
Filed under: Daldinia sp. CHTAF2
Lineage: Eukaryota; Fungi; Ascomycota; Sordariomycetes; Xylariales; Hypoxylaceae
Description: eukaryotic LSU rRNA
Rfam family: Eukaryotic large subunit ribosomal RNA (bases 538-1180)
Source: RNAcentral